CCUUAAACGGUGAAACCGCGAAUGGCUCAUUAAAUCAGCUAUGGUUCCUUAGAUCGUACAUGCUACAUGGAUAACUGUAGUAAUUCUAGAGCUAAUACAUGCCACUAUGCCCUGACCCGCAAGGGAACGGGUGGAUUUAUUAGAACAGAACCAACCGGGAGUGACUUGUCAUUCCUGUUGCACUCUGUGAUGACUCUGGAUAACUUUACUGAUCGCAGUCGGCCUUGUGUCGGCGACGGAUCUUUCAAAUGUCUGCCCUAUCAACUUUCGAUGGUAGGUGAUCUGCCUACCAUGGUGAUAACGGGUAACGGGGAAUCAGGGUUCGAUUCCGGAGAGGGAGCCUGA
This 345-nucleotide ribosomal RNA is filed under the name Conodiplostomum sp. 5 SAL-2010. RNAcentral describes it as "SSU rRNA". It matches the Rfam family "Eukaryotic small subunit ribosomal RNA", at positions 72 to 399 of the family's 1831-position model. Lineage: Eukaryota; Metazoa; Platyhelminthes; Trematoda; Diplostomida; Diplostomidae. The record is from RNAcentral.